UAAAAAUAGCAUUAUUUUUUAAGCAAAAAUGUAUUUUUUUUUUGUCCAUGUAAUGUUAGUGAAUUUGAGUGUUGGUUGGUUCGAAAACAAAAUUCUUUCAAUUUGCCUCUGUAAUUUUAGAUUGCUUUCGUUUUAGUCAUCAAUGUGAUCAUGUCACACAAAAAUGUAGACAUGGGCAGAAUAUGUUGACUAGACCACUGCCACAUGUUUAGCAGGCACAACCUCAGCAAUUAACCAUUAAUGACUAGCAUUCUUGUCACCCCUCUACCCUUCGGUCACAAAUGAUAGACGACUCUAUCGCGGCGAAAGCAACGAAAAUAUUAUGUAAAUCGUGUGUAUAGUAUUUGUGUACAAGGGCUUCCAUUAUAUCUCUCACUUGCAUGUUAAUGCUAACCAUGGUUUGUUGUGGGUUAUUAAAGCUCCGCCAAAAGCUAAAAAAACUACUUUAGCAGAUUUGUCGAAAAUGUGUUUCGACUCGGGUCCGGUUGCUGGAAAAAGAGUAGGUUAUUCGUAAGGUUGUGGUUUGUUUAAUGUAGAGGAUAAUAAACAUGUGUUUUUCAAGUGUCCAAGUAGUCAAAGUAUUUGGAAUAUGUCUUAGGUUUUUUCUAGGCCGUUUUGAAUAUUAGUAAGAAAUCUAAAUUUUUUUUAUUUUUAAUUUUGGAUAUCCGAAAACUUAGUUUAUAUGUUCCAUAAAUUUAUUCAUUUCUAGAAAACUUUUUAGCUAUCUCAAAUAUUUUAUGGGGAUGAAGUGAAUAAAAGGUUAAAAUGAGGUCUAGUGUUCAAUUUCUAGCAAGAUGAAANNNNNNNNNNNNNNNNNNNNNNNNNNNNNNNNNNNNNNNNNNNNNNNNNNNNNNNNNNNNNNNNNNNNNNNNNNNNNNNNNNNNNNNNNNNNNNNNNNNNNNNNNNNNNNNNNNNNNNNNNNNNNNNNNNNNNNNNNNNNNNNNNNNNNNNNNNNNNNNNNNNNNNNNNNNNNNNNNNNNNNNNNNNNNNNNNNNNNNNNNNNNNNNNNNNNNNNNNNNNNNNNNNNNNNNNNNNNNNNNNNNNNNNNNNNNNNNNNNNNNNNNNNNNNNNNNNNNNNNNNNNNNNNNNNNNNNNNNNNNNNNNNNNNNNNNNNNNNNNNNNNNNNNNNNNNNNNNNNNNNNNNNNNNNNNNNNNNNNNNNNNNNNNNNNNNNNNNNNNNNNNNNNNNNNNNCCUUCCCGGAUAUGAAUCAUAUCCGAGGUAACAGAACUAGCAAGAAUUAAUAGACACCGGUGAUGUAAUCCAAGAAGAUAACACCUCAAUUUUUAUUAAAAGUAAUCAAAUUGAAUUAUGCUCAAACUAUAUCAAUUGAAGGAUGUAUGUACACCCUCUCAUUCUUGAGCCACGACCAUGUAUAUAUAUUAUAUAUAUCAUCCCAUGCCAAACUUUUUUUCUCAAUUAAAAUCAUGAAUCCUAUUAAGUAGGAAUAAAUGGGUAAGAUAGUAACAGAAAACGUGUGCAUUGACCAAGUAAUUAUAGCCACAUUUAACAAAUCAUUAUUAAUAAUAAUAAUGAUAAUUAUAUAAUAUUAAAAUAAUUUUAAAAUAAAUUAUUAAGAUCAAAAUAUCCAACAAUCCCCCACAAUUUAUUUUAAAUUAUAAAAGAAUACUCAAAAAUCAUUUCCUGGAUUAACAUCAUUGAUGUAAUGCAUCAAACUGGUGUAGCAAGCUAUAUGAACCAGUUCUAGACUGAUAAUACUUAACACACAGUAACAUUGGUGUAGCAAGCUAUAUGAACCAAUGAAACUUAGUGUAUGUUAGCGGUCUACCAAUCGCAUUACACCCCACAGUUCUUGCUGUUGCCGCUGUGUUGCGCGAAUAGGCCGUGCGCGUGCCUGAAUUCUUUCAUGAGUGCUCUAGAGAUUUCACCAAGAUCUCAUGCAAGCGGCCCCACUUGACACUCAAAUAGGUGAUUUCAUCAAGUGUAUGCUGCAAAUCAUACACCACCCAUAAGGGCUAUGAAAAUCAUUAAAAGCUUUGUUAGCUUAUCCUCUCAGUAAUGUAGUAUCUAGCACUUUCUCACUCACACCAUAGGAAAAGGACCAAGACAAAAAUUAAUUAACUAAUUUUUGUGUGCUAGCAGAUCUAACAAGUAACUUGUUCUUACCCAUAUGAACCUUAUUCAUGGGAUCUCCAAUCACAAAGGUUGGGUUCCUAUCACUUGUUGAUUUCAAAUGGCUUAAGUCCAAUUCCCCUCGAUGUGUCACAAAAUUAUUUCUUCCCAGGGGCUUUGUUUAGUAGCUACUUUAUACACAAUUGAUGAAGACAGUUUUAUUUCACCAAUAUAAUAUUGACUAAGACGUCUCUAAGUCAAUUAAUCUCAUAAGUUUAUCCAAGUCUAUAAUAACUUGUUCUCCGCGAUAAAACUUUACAUAUUUGCUUAGUUAACUAAGCGACAACAUUCUCACUUAGAACAAUUAAAUUCACUUAUUAAUUUAUUCUCAUCGGCUCUUAUCCGAUUAACAUCAUUGUAUUAUUUCAAUACAAUGGCUCAUACACUAUAAAUAAUAUAUCUCAUAUUGUCGAAUCGACAUUUAUAAUAUAAUUCAUCAGGUCUACUUAGAUAAAUUCUAAGCGACAACAUCUCCAUAAAAGGGGAAAUUAAAUCUACGAUUAGAUUUAUAAAUCAGGUCUACUUGAAAGCUAGUUUUCAAGCGACAACACCCCCACAUUUGAUAACAUAGGUGAAUUUUAUUCAAGUCUACUUGAAUUAUUUCAAGUGACAGUGCCCCCUCAAUAAGGACAAUUUAUAAUUGUGCACAUUAUAUUGUGAUAUAUUUUCUCAUAAAUUAAUUUCACUAAACAUCAUUGUAUUAUAUACAAUGGAUAAUCCACAAUUUCUCUAAACAUCAUUGUAUUAUUUUAAUACAAUGGAUAAUCCACAAUAUACUAUAUUAUAGUUUAUGGUAUCUCAAAAAUAUUUCAUUUACAGGUCUACUUAUAAUAUUAUAUUUUUAAGUGACAACAUUUUUAUCACAUAUGUAUUUCUAUACAUUUCUCAGUGUCUCCCCAAUUUGCUUCAUUACUGCUCUACAAAUUUACAUGCUUCAGUGGCAACAAAUAUUACUCAUCACACUUGAAUAACGAAUAUAAACAAUGAACCACAUCAAGUGCCAUAAAAUAAUUGGUCUAAUACAGUUAUACCAUAAAAAUUAACUUCACAGCAGAGAAACAAAUAUGCAAAGUGUAUGCCACUGUAUUUUCGUUUUUAUAUGUCCAGGUUAUUCAAAUAAGCCAAUAUCUCAAACCUCAUGAAAAAUUAUAUGUUUAAAUCACUUAGAGCAAUAUGACAAACACUUACACAAGAAACUAAGAAUCUCAUAAUUAAAUUCUUUAGUAGUAGUCAUCUAGUUUUUUUUUUUUUUCAUACUGAUUAUUGAUCACAAGCAAAACUAUACAUAUAAUAAACCUUUGUUUUGUUUUUCCACUAGAAGAAAAAGAGUAUUAUGGACUUGCACAAAGUCCAAUUAGGAAUUGAAUACGUAAUUUCAAAACUAUCUUAUCAUUCAUUCUCAUGGAUGUUGAGUAAGAUAUAAAAAUUAUUCACAGAAAUUUAUAUAGACAGAUCACCGAUAUAAGUUUCACAAUAAAAUUGAACAAGCAUAGUUAAGAAGACUUACUUGAAUUUUUAUAUCACGUUUUUGCAACAUUCAUAUCUAAGGGAUUCAACUAACCGUAUACCAUCAUUUCGUGGAUUGGAAAUUCCAGCUAUCUACCUAAUUCUUUAUCACCCACUCUACUUGGAUAUUCAAUAUGUAAUUCUUCCCUCGCCGCAAAAUUGGGGUUUUAUAAUCCGAGCAUAAUAUAAGAGACUAAAUCCUUAAGAUUGUUGUAAAAAUUGGACCUACUCACAAUAAUAAACAACAUAUAAAUUUAACCAAUGGAAUAUACAUGAAUCAGAAUAAAAUAAAAUAGAGUUCACAAGAACUUAUCUUAUGAUCGUUGUAAUUGAUGUCGGCACUACCGUGUAGUAAUUUGAUGUAAACACCCGGAUAGUAAACAACGAAUUAGACCUGCAAAAUAUACAAUACCUGAGGCGUGCUGAUCGCACUGUCCUUAAGGAUUUAUCCGCCUCAUAAGCGCAAAUUCCCCAGGAUUCAACAGGUCCUUCCCGGAUAUGAAUGAUAUCCGAGGUGACAGAACUAGCAAGAAUUAAUAGACACCGGUAAUGUAAUCCAAGAAGAUAACACCUCAAUUUUUAUUAAAAGUAAUCAAAUUGAAUUAUGCUCAAACUAUAUCAAUUGAAGGAUGUAUGUACACCCUCUCAUUCUUGAGCCACGGCCUUGUAUAUAUAUUAUAUAUAUCAUCCCAUACCAAACUUUUUUUCUCAAUUAAAAUCAUGAAUCCUAUUAAGUAGGAAUAAAUGGGUAAGAUAGUAACAGAAAACGUGUGCAUUGACCAAGUAAUUAUAGCCACAUUUAACAAAUCAUUAUUAAUAAUAAUAAUGAUAAUUAUAUAAUAUUAAAAUAAUUUUAAAACAAAUUAUUAAGAUCAAAAUAUCCAACAAAACAUGUGUUUUUCAAGUUCCAAGUAGUCAAAGUAUUUGGAAUAUGUCUUGGGUUUUUUCCAGGCUGUUUUGAAUAUUAGUAAGAAAUCUAAAUUUUAGCAAGCUAGUAUUUUGAUUUUUAAUUUUGGAUAUCCGAAAACUUAGUUUAUAUGUUCCAUAAAUUUAUUCGAUUCUAGAAAACUUUUUAGCUAUCUCAAAAAUUUUACGAGGAUGAAGUGAAUAAAAGGUUAAAAUGAGGUUUAAGGUUCAGUUCCUGGCAAGAUAAAAGCUAACAUAUCAAUGUAAAUAUACUAACAACUAAGUAUUAACAAUUUGUCAUUCAAAAAAAUAAAAUGUUAAAAUGAAAAAAAAAUGAAAAAAAAGAAACAAAAAAAGUUUGUAGGGGUGUGAAAGUUCACCGAAUUUGGGCCUUUUAGAUUAAAUAAAGCCCAUUACGAGCUUAGGGUUUCUUAUCUUCGCUAUAAAUUGCUGCAACCAUGUCUCUCUCAUUUUCAGCUGCCAUCAACAACUAGGGUUACGACAGCACCGUUCAAGAUGAGAGCCAAGGUGAAUUAUUCAUCCUCUAUACUCGUUUUAUACAUACAUCAAUUAUAAUCACUUACUCUGAUUUUAUCGUAAUUCUAUGUUCUAAUUUGAACCAUUUUUGUUUUUUGGUUUUUCAGUGGAAGAAGAAGCGUAUGAGGAGGUUGAAGAGGAAGCGCCGAAAGAUGAGACAGAGAUCUAAGUAGACAGUUAUUCUCACCGAUCGUAGUUUGUUUCUUCGUAUGUUUUUGUUGUUAAAUGCGAUCUUUCGCAUAAUUGUCUUGAAUAUUUUCUUAAUGUUAUGAUACAUUAAUGGUUUUAUAUCUUAAUCGAAUUAGCUUUGGUUUAAACAAUUGCUUAAUUUCUGUAUGAAUUAUUAAAUUUCGUUAUUUCCGUUUAUAAUUAUCUCCUGGAAACUGUAGUGAUGUCAUUAUAGUUUUACAUUUCAUUCUUUAGUUUCAUUUUGAGGCUCUUCAAUUAUAAUUUAUAGCUGUUCUUUUUAGAUAGUAGGAUUAUAUUAGGCUCCGUUUGCCAAUGCCAAAUUUUUUGCUUGGGGUUUAUAGCUUAUGAGUUCAUUUUAAAAAAGAAAAACAAAAUCAGUUUUGUAACCUUUUUCUCAUGAAAUUGUAGUUUAUUUUUAAUCUUAUAUCUUAUUUCUAAUCUUAUAUCUUAUUUCAAUAAGCGAAUUCAAUUAGCUCAUAGCUUAAAGCUUAUGCCUUAUUAUGUUUUCUACCAACUGUACUCUUGUUAUCUUACCUGAAAACAAUUCAACAUAUCUUUUUCCUGUUAUUACACAUCUAUAAGUUAGUUGUUAAUUCUGUGAAACAUAUUCAAUCAGCUAGAUUAUCCUCCAUAAGUUAUAAGUUAACUUAUAGCUGUAAGCUAUUAGCUCAUAUGAAAUAAGCUGGUUUAUCAUUAGCUAUUAGCUCACAUUCAAUCAGCUAGGUUAUCCUCCAUAAGUUAUAAGUAAACUUAUAGCCGUAAGCUAUUAGCUCAUAUGAAAUAAGCUGGUUUAUCAUUAGCUAUUAGCUCACAUUCAAUCAGCUAGGUUAUCCUCCAUAAGUUAUAAGUUAACUUAUAGCCAUAAGCUAUUAGCUCAUAUGCCAUAACCUGGUUUAUCAUCAGCUAUCUGCUAAUUUUAGCCAGACAGAACCUAGGCAGUUUUAUAUAUCAAUAAUCAAUGCCAAUAAAAUUAGAGAUUAUAGCUUAACAGAAUUUGAUUCAAAUGUCAGGAUUUCUCCAUUUAGGUCAAUUUUUUGUUAAAUAGCUCUUAAAGCUGCAUCAUAGCAAAAUUUGAGUGAAAGCAACUGCUUAGUUGGUGUUUUACUGAAUGAAUCAAAUUGUUUUUGUAAACUGCAGUUGUGUGAAUACAGGGAUAUUACAAUGUGUGUGGUUGAUUCAUUGUUAUUUUCAUUAUGUUGUGUUUGUACUUUAUAUUUUCUUCUUCCUCUUAAGAUAUUUGAGCUGAAAUUUCCCUGUGUUUUACUACUACUGGGUUAUUUGAUGGGAAUGAAGCAUUACAUCCAAACAUGUCUAUUACCUUAGUACAGUGUAUGUGUUUGGAUUAGCGUUUUCUUGCCCAGACUCAUGUUUGAGUGCCUCUGCACCGUGAAAAACUAUGUUUAUUAUGAUCGAUGAUUGAUACGAAUUUAAAAAUGCAAACAAUUUAGGUUAUAGUUUGGAUGUACUGUGUACGAAAAUGUCUCUAGUUAUGUUUUUAUGGGGAAAAUGUUUUUAACACGAUGGAUGAAUCGUUGAUGUUCUUAAUCUCAAUAGAAUAUUCACUUUUGUCGUUGUACAUUCACCAAUUAUAGAUGUUGAUUCUAGAUAAAAGGUAUUUUUUUCUUACACAAAAUAAAAGGAUAAUUUAAAUACAAUUUUUUGGUCACUUACUUUAUUAUGUAUGCUUCAAUUUGUUAGUAAUUUAUUUUCGAAAUUAAACAAUUAUAGCUCAAUUUUGUUGAUUUGUCAUGUCGAGUAACAGACGUACAUUUAAAUUUGAUACGGUUAGUGAAUGUUUAUGUUUUCAGCAGUCCUUAGAAUUAGAUGUUAUAUAACUUAUAUUCCCAGAUGUAACGAGCUAGGAAUUUAUUAAAAAAGAAGGGAUUUUUUUUUACCGAUACACACAAAUCUCUUUCAAAUUUUGGGUUGAUCUUAAUUUUAUUCCUAUAAAAUUACUUGGAAUGUGAGAAUUGUUCUUAUAAUUAUUUUUUUAGUUUUCAAUGGAGCUUGGAAUUGAACUUAGGACAUUUAGCAUCAUAAAACAUUUUAUUACUAGACCAAAUUUAAUGGUUUUGUUCUUGUAAAUUUAUGUUCUAGCCAUUUUAUAUCCGAGUGAGAUUAAUAACUAACACCUUUGACUGGUAUUUAGAGCCUCUCUUGUUUGAAGCACCUGGAAAUGGAUUCCCUCCCGUGGCUAAGAUUUCACUGGACCUCUUCUGUUACUCGAGAGGAUCCAGCCUCGAAGCACCUGCAAAGCUGCCUUAUGAAAAUUUUAUAAUUUUACAAGUUUAUGGUACUGCAAGUGAUUCAAGUUCCUCCAAUUGUGAUACUUAUUUAGGAUGCUUAUCUUUUUGUUUUAUCAAUUUUGCCAUGUCACAUCUAUUGAGUAAUAUUCUUAUUUUACUCUGUUGUUGCAACCAUUCUGAAUUAUCUUUAAUCUCAUUUUCACAAAGUUCCAGACAUUUAAUUUUUUAUUUUUUUUACAAUUCCAGACAUUUAAACUUAAUAACACCAACUUGUUUCUUAUUAGUAAGCUAAACGUGCUGGUAUAAGCAAUAGGAAUUAUCUAUAAACUUAAGCAAUCAUGAUUGUCACGCAGUCAUACUCCAAUAGUGAAAUCAAAUAAAACCAUUGCUCAGGCUUAAAAGCUAAUUUGCAGUUGUUCAAAGGCUAUAUUCUAAUUAUUAUGAUGAUUAUAUGAUAUUAACAAAUGCUUAAAUAUAAUGAGGAAUGUUAGUAUGAGUCACAUCACAUUGUGACUUAUUCAUAGUAUAUGUUUGAAAACUCGUCCAAUUUGCAAUUCUUGCGCAAUGAGGUAAUUUUCACCGUGAAUAAUAAAAGCUACAAAGUGUAGCUUCUUACCUAAUGUAUAUACAACAACCGAGAAUAAAAAUAUAGUUGAUAGUGAACCUCCACGCACUUUUUUAUUCAACGUUUGUUCAAUAAGCUACAAAGUGUAGCUUCUUAUCUAUCGCACUUAUGCAACUUUUUAUUCAAAGUUUGUUCAAUUACUCUUUUAUCCACAAAUGCAAUGAAAGCAUUUCGUUCGGCACUAAUGGUAUCCCCAACAUGCCAAAUCAAUUUUGGAACAAAAAUCCAAACAUGCCAUGAAAAAGAAAGAAACCACAUCAAAGGAUUGAAACCAUGCUUCGUAUAAUUGAAAACGUCAAACCAAACAUAUCAUUAGAUUUCAACGAAUCAAAGAUGAUCAUACCAAAUAACUAUUAACAAGAGAUUCUAAAUUAGAUUAAAUAACAAAAGUAACUUCAAAAACAUAUAAAACUAGAAAUUGUCAUGAUUAAACAAAAUUAAAAAAAAAAAACAUCAAAUUUUUUCACUUUCUUGAAUCAGGAGUUCCAAGUUGAAACCCAUCAAGGUUAUCAACAUAAUUCCUAACUUCUUCUGCUAUCAUACGCUGAAUAAUCGACCUCAAAUUAUCAUUUCCCAGUAACUUCAAAUUAUCAUCAAAAUCAAAAUCUCGUUCCUUUUCCUUUUUCUCUUUCUCUUCUUUGAUCAAUUUCUCACCAGGUGGAAACAAACUUAAUGACGUCAUAACAGUAACACCAUUACCCGCAUCUUCUUCUUCNNNNNNNNNNNNNNNNNNNNNNNUAUUAUUAUUAUUAUUAUUCUCAACACAUUGCCGUUUAUAACCGUAACCGAGAUCCAACAAACCGUUAUUAUAACCGUCAUACAUAUUCGACCCACGUUUUCCGAUAUUCACGGUGGAUGAAACCACCGGCAUUAUCGGAGUCACCGUCGCCGCCUCCGUACGACGACGGCGGAGAGUCGAAUUCCAGUGAUUUUUAAUCGCGUUAUCAGUUCUACCUGGUAAAAGACGCGAAAUCGUCGCCCAUUUGUUUCCAUGAACUGCGUGCGCUUGAAUUAUGAUGUUAUCUUCCGCCGGAGUAAAUGGACGGUGUUGAACGUCGGGACUCAGCUGAUUACACCACCGUAGACGGCAUGAUUUUCCAGAACGGCCAGGGAUUCCGUUGCUUAUGACAGACCAGUUUCUUGCGCCAUAUUCAUUUACCAAUUUCANNNNNNNNNNNNNNNNNNNNNNNNNNNNNNNNNNNNNNNNNNNNNNNNNCAUAUUCAUUUACCAAUUUCACCAAUGUUUCAUCUUCUUGUGGACUCCAUGAACCUUUCACUUUAUCGCCGUUUUCAUCGACACCACCACCGCCGCCAUGGGAAUUGGAAUUUGAGUUUGCGCUAAUCAUCGCGUCUUGAACCUGUUUGUGAAAAUGCCAAAGAGAAAAGAAAGAAAGAAAAUGUUGUUAUUGUUGUGAAAAUGUGUGAAUAAAAUGAUGAGUUAGUUUUUUAUUUUAUAAAGAAAUAAAAAACGAAUGAAUGAAUAAACAGAAAAACUGUAAAUGAAAAGUGUGAAUUGGAAUGAAGUAAUGAAACCUUAAUUAAGAUGAAACUGUUUUUUUUGUGUGUGUAACUACUUCCAACGUGUUUGUUUCUGUUCUUCAACUUCUUCUAUUCUUGUUGUAAAUCUUGAAACUUUAGUUAUUAUUAUUAUUUUCUGUUUUUAAUAUAAUAACUUUGGAGAUGAAAUGAAAAGAUAGAAGUUGGGUGUUUUUUCGUUUGGACUUAGGUAGGUAGAAGUUUAUGGGUGGGUUAGUUUUAAUUUAUAUAUUUAAUUAUAUUUUUGGUUUAGGGUUUUAUGAAAAAAUGGAUUUGGAAGGAGUGGGUGAUUAGAUUAAUCAAUAAUGGUGUGGAAGUUAUAACUUCCACAUACAUCUUUAUCUUAACUGACUCAAAUAACGUUUUUUUCCUAUAAACUCUAACUAAGAUGGAUGAUCAUUUUGACCAAAUUGGUUUCUUAAUUUUGUAAUUAAUAAUUAAUUAAUUAUAAUGAUUUUGAAGUUUGUUGGUGGCAGUUAGGAAGGAGUGAUCAUAUUUUCUAGAUGGGUAUGAAAAUAAUUUUCAUUUUUUUUUGUCAUGUAGUCUGAUGGCUAAAAUUUCAACUGAAGUGUCGGGUUUGAAUCUGAUUCGUUGAGUGUCCGGAGUUCAAACUUCUAUCAACUGAGCUAAGUUGAUAGGACUAAAAUGCGAUAUUUUUAUCAGUUGAGUUAAGUUUAUGAAAAAAUAAUUUGAUAUUUAUUAAUUAAGGUACUGUUUGGCCUAGCUUUUUUUCCUCUUCUUUUGAGCUUAUGCAAACAGCUUAUGCAAUUUUUACGUAUUAUUAUAAGUUUUUCAAGGUAGUUUAUGAUAAAAUAGCUUAUAAAAUUACAAUUUUUACUAGUGUGAACUUAUAAAAUAACAUAAAACUGAAUUUAUAUUGCAUAAGCUAUUUGCAUAAGCUCAAAAAAGUUAGGCCAAACACACCCUAAAUAUUUGAUUAUGAUUUAUGAUGAUGAUAAUCUUGAUGUAGCCAGAGAGGCUAACUAACUUAUGAGAGGAAGUUGUAACGGACGUCGGUUACUUAAUUGUGUGGUGAAAUUAUAGUUAGAAGGAAAUGGAUGAGUGAAUAAGGAAGGAGCAAAGAAAGGGGUUUCGUAACUGUAAGUUGUUAUUGCGGUUAGACAUGCAUAUAUACAUGCUACUUAUUCGAUAUUAUAGGAGUUUUUAAAUUUUAAAUAACUAGAUUUAUUCAAACUAGUAACACACCACUAUUUAUCCUAAUUCAAACUAGAUUUAUUAAAACUUAUCAUAAAUCUUACAGAGUUUUUUUUUUUGAAGCAAAAAUGUUGGUAGGAUUGUACCUUAAUUUAAACAUUUUAAUUGAUUAUAGUUAUAUUCAAAUUAAUCGCUAUAAUCUGUUCUCUACAUUGUUUUAGGCAAAAGAAAGAUAAGACUGGCCUAUAAAAGUAUAAUAAUUUUUUUAUGAAAAUAUAACUGAAAAAAAUUGUAAUAUUAAUGUUAACUUUACAAAGGUUUGCUGGGCAAAAUGAUGGAUGAUCAUUUUGGUUAACCUAUAAACCAGCAAGCCUAGCCUAGGCAGUUGUUCGGGUUCUGGCCAAAAAAAAAAAAUUGUGUUUAGGGGUUAGUUUAGGACAAAACUAAGAUAUUAGUAGCUUAUGCAAACCUGUGAUUUUUAAGGGUUAGUUUACGGUAAAAUUGAAUUUUUUUGUUAAACUAUAUAUACUAUGUCACAUGUGAAAUUUCGGUGACUCUAUAAUUUUCUAGCUCCGCCAUUGGGUCUGGUCAAAUAAAACAUCUCAAUUGGUCAGUACUUAGUCUAGAUUGUUUUGCACAAAAAAAACAUUAGACGAGAGUGAAUUGUCUCGUUGUCGUUUCAAAAAGGAUUUGGAUCAUCUCUCACAAAACUCCUCUACUACAUAUAAUUGGAAAUGAUUUAAACCCUAAUUUACCCUUCGGGACCAUACUUUAUUAAUUUUUUUUUGUGAAAUAGUCUAGUGUCUAAAACUUCGAUAAAUUAAGUGUCUAGCGUGGGUACUUUAUAAUUUGUAGCAUAGUAAUAAGCGGACCUUCUCCAUCUAAUUUGAUUUUGUAUUCUGACCUUGUAAAGGGCAAGGGCGCAGUGACCUAUCUAACAAGUAACAACUCUAUUAUUAUGUCAUAAAAGAAGAGCCAUGUGGAUUUCCAUCAGCCAUAUGUGUGAGAGUUUAUAACAAUUCGGUGAGCUUAAUUUAAUUGGUAUGAAUAUCGCAUAUUAUAUAUAGGAGUUGAGUGGAGAUAUUGCAUUUUAUAUAUAUAUAAGUUGGGGUUCGAAUCUCGAACACAUCAUUUAUUAACUUUAAGAAUAGAAUUUCUAGUCAUUAGAUUACCUAUGAAAAAAAAAACCAACAAAAAUUAGUUGGAGACAAAAGUUAGAAGAAAUUUUUUUAUCGACUAAAAACAAAAUUUGUGAAUUUACCAUAAUACCGUAAUAAAAAUCUAUUAAUUAUUCAUUUAUUUAUUUUCUAAAAUUUUCUUUUUUUAUAUAAUUAUUUUCUAAAAUUUUCAUUUAUCUCUUAUACGACCAUAACAAAUACUUUAAGGAGUCCAUACUUUAAUUGUUCCUUGUGUAUUUUUUAAUAAAUUUUAUUAACCAAAAUGUACUUAUAGAUCGGGAAUAAUCUCUUUAAUAUUCCAGUGGAAGCCUAUGCAACUUCACGUACAGCACUUACUAUCAACAACCAUGGGCCAUUUGAGUAUUUGAUUCAAGUUAGAUGUAAAAACAGGCGCAACUAACUCAACAGAACCUAACCAAAAUAAAAGGUAGUUAGUUAAUUAGUUGGAAUUGUAUUUUUGGCUUUUUCAACAACAAAAAAUUAGUUGGAAUUGUAACAAACUACGUACAACCAAAACUUUACUCAUUUUGCUAGGAUCGGGAGAAGUGGAUCAAGAGUCAUAGUUGUUGAAUAAUGAUGUUAAGAAUUGGUGCAUAAAACAGAAAAAUGAGGUUUAUUUAUUGAUUACUCCUAUGUGCUGUCAACAAUUAUAUUAGUGGUUACUAACCUAAUUUGGAUUUUGUGUAGUGAUACUGCAUGCAGUUAGAACAUUUAGAUUGUUUGAUCAAUAUCGAACGAUUCAGAUUUCAAGAACAAAUUUUAUUAUUAUAAGUAUAAAAUUCAAGCUAAAAAUUUGGACUGUCUGAUCUUAAUCAAAAAGUUCUUAUAGUGUAGUAACUUCUCUCCGACUUAACCUUUCUCCGACCGCAUAGAAUCUGAGUCUGGUUACUAACCUAACCUCCAAGCUACAAUAAAUUAAUUAAAGAAAACAUCACUCCUAAAUGGGGCAAUUGAAGAAUUUCUUGGAAGCCAAUUAAGAAUGCAAGGAAGGAUACAAAAGGAUUUGAGCAAUGUUAAAUGAUUAAUUGAUAGUGAUUCACAAAGACUUUACCAAAAAAAAAAAUAAGAGUGAUUCACAAAGAAGACAUAUAAAAGUUUCACGAUUGUCACGGAGGUACGAGGUAGUCCAUGUGGCUUGUGUAUAAGGUAAGGCAUUCCUAAUUUCCUAUAUGUAAUUUAGUGAGGCAUAGAAAUUUCGUUUUGUUAAGGGUGAGAUAUCCAUUUGAGUGGUUUGGAUCGGAUGAUGUAUCUUCGAUUCCUACAAGUAUAGUUGAUGGUGAAAUUCUCAUUAAAAUCUAGUACAAGUAGUUGAAAACACCUUAAAUUUGAACGUAAUUAAGAUUCUAUUAAAAUCUACAGAUGGUUUAAAAUCUAUCUGCAUUUAAAAAAAAAAUAGUACCUAAUUGAGUUUCUAAAUUUAAUAUAGUAAUCAAUUAUGUACCCAAAAAAAAUACAAUUUUUCAUUAAACUGUGUUGAGUGUUAACCAUUCAAAAAGUUAUGAGUUAGAGAGUUCAGUUUCCCAAAUUCAUAUUAGAAUAACAAUUAUGUUCCUCUUUAGCAAUUAACUAGUUAUUCCGUAAAUUAUAUAUCUAAAACCUCUUUAUCUCUUCAUCAACUUGUUACAUUCUUGCAAAUAAUCUUUCAUUACCUUGUCAGAAUCUUGAUUUUUGAUCUUACUAUAUCUACCUUAAUGACUGAAAUAAUCCACGCCAUGAAAGGCACAUACAAAUCUGUCUGUUAAAGUCUGUAAACUUUGCUUCAAAAAAUAAAGUCGGUACACUUCGUAUUAUACUGGAACUAAAUAAUUUUUAAUACAAGAAAAAUGGUAGAAUACAGAAAUUUAUCGGCUAGCUCAAACCAGCAGGUCCAAAAAUACAUCAGCUUAGCUACAACUCAGAAGAAAAAAAAAGACUUACUAGACUAUUAUGACAACCUUCACAGGAACUUAAAAUUAAUUAUAGUCUCAUCAACCUCUACCAGAAGAAGAAAAAAAAAAAUGUUGCAUCGAAUUUGCACAGAAAAUCUACACAAAAUUCAUAAGCAGCAGGCUUGCUCUCCAUAAAAAAAACAGAUUCAUUCUAUACUUCCCACCAUACCAUACUGGUUAGUAACUGCUGCUACCCAUGGGUGGCAUCCCAAAAGGAGGCAUUUGGGGCAUCCCCAUUCCACCCACCGGAGGGGGAGGCGCAUAGCUUCCUCCAUAACCUGGUCCUCCCAUUCCAGGCAUCGGUGGUGCAGGUAAAGCAAGAGGCAACAAUUGAGCAUACAUGUUCUGCAACAGAAAACACAUCCAUAUCAGUACUCCUCUAAUGUCCAGUCAAGACUAAGAUGAAAGGAGUUAUCAAAGGCAAAUUACUCUGAACAUUGAUGUCAGCUAUAUUCUGCAAAGCCACAACAAAAACUAAUUUUAGGGUAGCAGAAAAUAGCCAAAGUUAAAUUACCUGUUGUGCAACUACAUCCUUUUCUUCUUUCUCUUUAGACUUCACUUCAUUUUGUGCUUCAAUUCUGUCUUUCACUAGUUCAUCCACUUUGCCGGUGUACUCACGGAUAAACUACAACAAAGAGAAUAUGUUUGAAAGAGAGAACUAGAUAAAACGCCAAUAAAUAGAUCCAUUUCAGCCCAUGGAAGAAUAAAGAAAUACAGUUGUCAAACUAGAAUUCUUUGGAUAUCCCAUACAAAUACAAUACCACAAUUACAUAAUACCAUCCAGAACCUUAAAUAGCCAAGUAUAUUAACUCAUGUUAACCUUAUUUUAGUUAUCACUUUUAUCAACUAUGAAAUUGAAACCCCAACAUUCAUCUAAAAGCAGUUCAAAGCAUACGUUUUUAUGUUUGCAACCCAUAAACUGCAGGACUUUCAAAAGACAAAAACAUCACUUUUAAAGAGCAAAGGGAUACAAGAUAGCUAGCAUAAUUCUUGGCAAAACGGUCAGGGAUGGGAGGGGUAAUUUUCAGUAAUGUAAGUUUCUUAAGCCUGAUAUCAACAGCAUUGUCAUAAAAAUAAUAUAUGUAAACUGAAAUAGUGAUACAAAUCAGCAGCAUCAAAAGAAUGCCAACCUGUAAGAGGUAUGGGAAGGCAAAGUCGAUCAUAUUGUGCAUCCAAGCUAAUUCAAGAACAACAUCUGCUCGUAUUAAAUCAUAGCAAACGAAUAGACAUGAGGCAAAGCAUUCCUUCUUUCCCUGCAUAAUCAUUGUAAAAAGAAAACUUAGAAAAUUAUAUGCACAUGAUAAAUCAGAUUAUCAUCAUUCCAUGAGGGCAGGAAACAGCUUAGACCCAAAUGCAAGAACACUAAAAGCCAAUCCUUCAGUAAAUUGUUGAUUGUAAGGCCCUAACAUGCAAUUGCAAAAGAAAAUUACGAGGUUUGAGGAAAAAAGCAAAUACCAUUAGGUUCAAAUUUUUUCUCUAAAUGAUUUAGAACUGAACAAGCCACAAGAAGCGACCACAAGUAUGCAAUUUGCAUACUGAACAUGUUAGUAAUGAUGAUUCAGAUCCUCAUGGUAAUUUAACAAAACAUGUUGGGGUACAUGCAUUUUCAAACUGAACUUUUUAGUACCUGAUCAAUGAAAUAAACAAGCAACUCCUCGGCAAGUUCACGCUCGCCAGAUUGUGAAGCUGUCUCCAUGGCAUCUUUGUAAAGGUUAUCCUUCUUUGACAAAGCAAUGGACUGCUUCCACCGUCCUGCCUUCUUGUAAAUAUAAGCAGCAACACGUCUCAUCUCAACAAGCUCAUGCUUUUCAAUCUACAUCGUACAUAAUUAAUCUAUCAGUUUUCCGUAAUUGAAACAGAAAAAAGCCACUGUCAAGCGAAAAGUGUAGGUCACCUUUUGUGCAAGGCCUAUUUGAUCAAAAUUAUCAUGCAAAUCAAUUGACUCGCGCAAUCUAUCAUAAUCUUCCUCCUCAACAUAUAUUUCGUUCAGGGCUUCAUUUACAGCAGACACGUUGUUGCUCUGAACUGCAACCAUGUAUGGCUUCACAAGCCGGAGGUGACCAGCCUACAGCACAUUACAGAUAAAAUAUCAAUAGGUGUUACAGAAGGCAAAUUGCAAACUAAUAUCUAACAAAAUUUGCUGUGAUUCUACCUUACGCAGGAUGUCAACAACCCGAGCAUGGUCCACGCGAAGUGCAAGGACAUUCAGAAUAUCAUUGAUGAGAUCAGGAUGUUCUUCCAAAUAGAAGUGAACAGCCUUGUAAGACAACUCAACAUUAGCAACUUUGACAGCAACAUCUUUGAAUUGCAUGUGAUCCCAUGCUUCAGGUGAAUGGUUCAUGAUAGUAGUUGCGGCAUUAUCAAACUCAUCAUAUUGGAUAUACAAAAAGGUCAAUUCUUUCCAAUGCUGUUGUUCAUCACAUGCUCUUAUGAGCUUUGGGAUAUUGAGGCGGGUUGAGAAUAGUUUGAUAUGCUCCAUAAGCUUCUCAGGGCGGUAUCUAGCAUAAAGAACUCCUAACUCAGUGAAGAUGCCCAUAUGAGCUCGUUCUAACCCUAAACCGCUCUCCAUCAGAGAUAUUAACUCGUUGAAGUAGCCUCUAUUUUGGUAAUAUUCACUGACCUCUUCCAAGUCAUCCACCUACAUAAUUAACAAACAGUUUGACACAGUAAGCAGUGGAAAGUAAAUAAGCUCACUACUAGUAAUAGCAAACCAACAAAAAGACCAGAUAGCAAGUGCAAAAGCCCUCCAAUGACCAGUCACUACAAAUUUACAUAUUUGCAGAAUACUCUAAGGGAGAAGAAUUUACAUUACUUUAUGAAGCCUGUUUUAUUCAAGCUCUCUAAAUAGAAAUCAGAUGGGAGCAUAAAUCAAGAAAAGGCCUCUUAAAUUUAUUUUUAAAACAUCUUUAGUUCCUUAGAAAUGCUAAAACUAACAGAUUACCUGAAUAAUAAUGUUGAGCCCACAUAUCUGGGCCAAUCGAAACUCCUCUGCAUCAACACAAGCAAAACAAACUUCUUUCCAUGUUUUGGAACUGUUAGCUUUCCUUGCUGCAUCAACAGCACCUUGGAACUGUUGUAACUUGACCAAUGUAAUAGCCAACUUGGCCCAGUUAGAUAUAAAGGAAAAUAUGAUUUUUGCAGCCUCGUAUAAUGCUUCGUCAUACAACCGGUCCCCAACAUUUUGCAAAUUAGCAACAUUUGGCAUCAGAAUGAACUCCUCAAUGUCACUAAGCCUAUCAAUCUUUGCAUAUGCAUAAAUGAGCUCGCCGUCAACCUUUGGUUCUUUUGCCUUCUGUCUUACCAUUAACAAGUAUUUGACCAAGUCAUGGUAAACAUUGGCAUCUUCAGCGGCACGGAUAACAUCCAAAAAUUGUGUAGUAUCAUCUGCUCGUAUAAAUGACUCAAUUGCAUCACUUACAAGCCCUUCCCUGAGUUGAGCCUUUGCCACCUCACUCCAAACAGCAUCUUCUUCAACUCUGAACGCAAACUCAACAGCUCUAUCGAUGCUACGAAUAUUAUCAAGCAACACAUUGACUGCUUGAACAUUCAAGUUGAACUUCUUGAAAAUUGCAAAUGCUUCCUCAUACAACUGUGCUUCUACAGCCAUUUCUCCAACUGCAGGCCCAUCGAAAUUAUCCAGUCUAUUGACAUAAUCCAUAACCCUGGAUGAAUCAGCCUUUAUCGCUGUCAAAAUGAGAAGAUUCUGCAAAUUGAAGUUCCCACUGAAUGCAGAAUUCUGAAGCACAAUCUUCUCAAGAAGUUCAAUCAAUUCAUGAGGCAGAUCGGCUGUCAUGAAAGCCUUAACAGAUGCAGAAACCUGUUCAGGGCUUGAGCUUUCAGGCAGAGCAGUAGAUACAACCUGAUCAAUAAGUUGCCUUCUAUAUUCAUUUUCAGGAUCAAGAACUUUAGCCCACAGAUCACCAUCCAUUCUCUCAACGACAUAUCUGCACCACAAGUACAAGCAUGUGAGCAAUGAAUACAAGAAAAUUGAUUUGGUCGAAGAAAGACCUACAUACACACUACAAACCUUGCUUGCAGUUUGAACAAAGAAUUUUUACUAGUGACAUUGAUAAGUUCUUCAUCACAUUGUCCUCGUCUGUAAGCUACAACUGCCAAGGUCGGGUCACGUUUCUCACAAUACUUGCCCACAACUCGAGAAUCAUAGUACGGGUUGCUUGUGAGAAAAUGUUCUGGGUUGUUGUUGCUAUCAAUAAUGAUUUUACCCAGUGCAUUGUGAACAUGUACAUCCUGGCUUCCCUCACUCACGAGAUGCUCCAAAAACUGUGUGAGCAAACGAAGCCGAUUCCUGCAUAUAUAAUAAUCAAGGGUUAAAAAAUCAUAAAUGUGAAUGCAAAUCAACAAUACAUAAGAAUAAAGAACAAAACACACCUCUUCUCACACUCCUCUACAAGGGGCUCCACUGGAAGCAAGGAACGAACAGAAAGAAUCAAACCUUUGAUGAAAUCUUCUGGGCACUCAUCAUCUAGCAGCUGUCCAACAACUAAAGGAGCAUUCCCUGGGUUCACCUACACAGAAAUAUACAAAUGCUGACGGGCAGAAAAAGUAAGGUAGAUAUCACUCAUGACAUAUACAAGGCUACUAUUAUACCUUCUGAACAUAACCUUCAAUGUAGCGAAGCAUGUUGUUUGUGUAUAGGUAGUGUGUCAGAUCUGGAACAAACCCAAAUCGAUCACAAACAUUGAUCAAAGGUCGUGCAUCUGGAAGCUUAGCCUCCAUUAGGAAGUUCUUCGUUUUUUCAGCAUCAUAGAAAUUGGAUUCUCUUGUCACACGCUCGACCUCCUUGAUUUGACCAGUCUUUGCUGCUGCCUCAAUGUACUUGAAAUGAAUUUCGGGGUCCUCGCUAUACCAUAUUAUUCAGAGAAGCAUGUAUGAUACAUCAGCAUUAAAACAUUGGAAAAUAUAUCAGGUAUAAACAGGGUCAAUUACCAACCGGAAAAAAAAAUGUACAAACCUGGAGCUCAAAUAUGAUCCAAGAAAAAAAUACAGCCCUUCAUAUGACCUAAACUGCUCAAAAAUUUUAAUGCAGCCAUCAACGCCCAAUUGUUCAGAAUAUUCUUUAGCUACCUGAACAGAUAUAAGUAGGCUUAGUUAUCAAUUAUUAGUAAGCUCCAAAUCAAAAAAGACAAUGACUCUUCUUUACCUGCACAAUAAUCUGUAAAUUGCCCCUAAGAUUGGCCAGUAAUAAGUCUUUCAUGCACUCUAAUGCCCAUUCUCGUGAGAGAGUACCAAAAAAUUCUACAAGUGACUGCAAUAACCAAAUAAUGAGCAAGUAUUAGGCUUGCGUGAUAUAUUGUAAACCCAAAAAUAGAUAAGAGCAAUAAGUCAGAAAAAAACCUGAGGCUCAAUUGCAUGUGUAUUAACAAUCACACGUUUUAUAUCUGGUAACUCUGUGUAAUGCUGCACCAAGAAAGAUGUAUUCAAUAAAGGAACUUAAGAUUUUUAAGUAGGGAAAGUACAAGAAUAAAACAUUUAGCAAGGCAUUACUUGCAAAGCUCGCACGUAAAGUCCAGCCUUUUCACAAAGCUGGGCAAUACGAGGACGGUCAUAAUGGCUGAACAUGCCAUUGGCCAAAAUAGCAUCGGCAACAUUAGGGAAAGUGACCAGAUUUAUCUCUAGCACCUGAACAACAAUCCACAAGAAAAUUGUAUCACUGCAAAGAAAGAAUUAUUAACAGAGUAAAGUGCCACAUAACAACUGGGAAACAAAGGCCCGACCUUUGUUUGAAGGAAUCCGUGUUCUGGUAAAUUUGGUUUUAAAACAUCCAGGAGAAAAGCUGUUGCCUCACGGAUCAGGUUUCUCUGAGCAGGCCAAAGAAUAACCAAGACAAAAAUGUCAAUAACGUUUAGAAGCAUAGUGUAAUAAAUCAACGAUGAUAAAGCUAACAUAUUAAAUUACUACUCGUCAUAAUUGCCUAAUCACAGUAGAUAAUAACCUGAAGAAACAGAUCAGUUAUGGUGUUGUAAUCAAUUGGGCUACCUCCCUCCAUUUGAGACAUCAUUAAUGCAAAAUUAACAGCACCCUGAAAAGCAAAAUAAAAAUGAAUAAUAAGUACAAGACUGUAAACUUAAUGAACAAAUACUGUGCAAAAAGAACAGUUACCGAUGCAUCUAUAAAGGUGGCACACAGUGGGCAAUUACAGAAAAGGUUAAACUAAAUCAAUUAAACAAUAUAAACUGUAGAGCUUUCACUCAAACCUGAGGAUCUGUUCGGAGAAUUGUUUGCAAGAGGAAGAGGUAGUCAGGUGUGUACCCAACCUAUAGCAACAAAUAAGAAAUGAAAAAUAUUCAGGACCAAAUGUUUCCAGUAAAGCAGAAAUGUAAUUCACGCAAAGAUAAUUAUUACAGGCUGAGAAAAAUGUUAACACAUAUAAUAGCAGUGAAGGAGCUUUGCAUCAAAGCCAAUAUUCUUUAAUGAGUAAACAAGCACCUGCUUAGAGUAGACCAGAAUCUUGUCAAACUCCCUCCUCUCAGCAAAAGCAGCAACAACUUUUGGAGUAGCUCUAGCUUUGAUGUAUAUUUUUAAAGCAAGAUCAUUGUCCACAGUCUACAAGGGAGCAUACCCAUGAAAAUUAAUAGAAGCUCACCAUUUCAAAAAAGCAAUUAAGAUAAGCAGCAAUGCCUCAUUAGGCAGAAAAUUAGAAAAUAGAACAUACAAACAUAAAAAUAAUUUGAAUUCUUCAAAAUGUAUAAUCCAACUAAACCUUAACAAGAUCUCCUAGCUCCUCACUGCAUUCAAGCUUGUCCUCUGCCAACCAAGUUUCCAACAGAUUUUUCUUGUUCUGGUUCACGACCAACCGAGAUAGCUCUAAUGAUUCAAAGCCAUUCAGCUUUCCCCUCGUUAAAAGCGUUCCAAAAUACUGCAGCAGUGGCGGAGUUUGACCAGCUUGCACAGGAACACUCUGCCAAAUAGAAAAUAGUCACAUUUUUAACGCUACUAUUACAAGUUGAGCAGAACCAAAAAUGCAGGAAAUUGAUGGAAAAAGCGAGAAUAUUUUCAAAAACUAAUGAAUCUACUUGAGAGGAAUGACAGUGAUUUAACAACUUAUAGAGUUCUAGUUCACAUUGACUGAUCUGUACUACCCAAGUGAAGCUGAUGACAGAAUUCUGCUAUACAGUUUAACAUCAUUACACAUGUAUCUGAAAGUUAAACGGGAUAGAUAGCUACACUACACUCAACAAAUAUAAUCUAAUUGACCAAACAAAAGAACAACACCUAAAGGCAAAUGAUAAACCUAGGAUUAAUCUCUCUGUAACUUAAGUAGAAGAGAGAGCAUGAAAAAAUCCUGAAUAUCAAGAAACCUGAAAUUUUGCAACUGUGUCAGGAGUACGAAGGAUUCCUUGAGGAGAUUCAGCAGCAAGCUCAGCUGCUUCUUUAUACUUUGUUUGGGAAAACAAUUCAUGAAAACGCUCCACAACCUGUAAUGACAACAAUUAUUGCCAUCAUGCAAGCUUUAAAUAAUAAAAGAACAAAAAUACAACAGUCGCCAUUUCUUAAGAAGCUAAUACACAACACAACACAACACAACCAAAUUAUAAAUCUCAAAUAAAAUAUGAAUGGGAAAAAAGAAGAGAUUAAAGCAUGUAGGUUAUGUUGGUCAAGUAAAAGACAAAAGCAACAAAAUUGCAGCAUACAUCAAUAAAAUAUCUAAGAUGAACUGGCUGACGGUGCAAAAUAAAUUACAACAAAUGUUGGUGAGGCAAAGAAACAUAUGUCAAACACUCGUGAAAUAAACUGAACAGACAGCCAAAAAUAUUGUACUUUUUAUUGGAAGCAUAUAACCAAAGUUCAUACAAGUUAGUGUUUAGCAGUUAUAUGCACCACAUAAGAUUAAUAGACAAUGCUUCAAAGUUCUUGGGAUCUCCCUGACAACACCCCCAGUGAAGAAACAUUAUUAUUACAAAAGUUGAGUUCUACUCAAAAUUGACAUACCAGCUUCUCAGCACCAGGAAGAUUUCCUCUUUUGGCAAGACUAACAGCUAGCUCCAAAUUGUUUAACUGCAAUAAUAACCAAUACGAAAUGUGUUAAAUGUCAAUUCAUUCCCUGCUUCACAUCAUAAAAGUGAUAAAAAAAGGUCAGAAACAUACUUGACCGCUGACAAAAUUCACAAUUGUUUGUUCAUUAACAGUGGCCAACAAAACUUGGCCUCUCCUAUUAAUGGCAUAAAAUCCUCCUGCUGAUGUGGCUUCUGAUGUCAAAAAUAUAGGAUCUGGACUAAUUCUGUUCCUAUAUACAGCAGUAGCUGUCUCCAAAUCGUAUACAAAAAGUAGGCCAAGUUUGGUAAUCACGUAAAUCAAAUUAUAUUUGUGGGAUAUCUGAAAGAAAAAAAUAAAGUACAAAUCAGAUAUCUACAGCAUUUUAUAUAAUGAACAACACUAGCAACUUCUGUACCUGCAUUGCAACUGGAAAGUCAUCAGCAAAAUCUGGGGGGAAGAAAAGAUCUGCUUGUUUCUUUGAAAAUGAUGGUUUCCCUGCCAACAAAUUUCAAAAGGUAAACUCCAGGAGUAUGAUCAAUUUAAUCACAGACGAUAUAAUGAACACACAGUUCAAUUCCACAAUACACCUCUUACAAUUUGGGCUUUAAGCCUAGAGGUGAGGAGCUUUAUAAGGACUACUUAGGCCAUGCAUCUACCUCUAGUCAAUGUGGGAUCUCAACAAACCCCCUCACACUUAAGACAGGACAUCUGUAGCAUGGGAAAAUGUGGGUGGAAUAACAUGGAUCAUGGCGCAAUAACAAAUUUGGGAUAUACUUUGAUACAAGUUAGAAUUUAAGACCGGUCUAACUCAACCCCAAAAGCUCACUGAAGAAACGGAGAUUGCCCAAGCUUUAAAAAGGACUACUUUGGUCAUAUUACUAGUUAAUGUGGGGUCUCAACAACAUGAGUCCAUCUUCAGAUGUCUGAUUUUGAUAUAUACAGCUUAGAUUUGUGAAAUUAGUUACAAAUGCAACUCAUAUAUAAUACAUGAAGUAAAUAUCUACUGCUUCAUCUACCUCCUACUUUCAGGACUACAUGUUUACCACUACAAUUGAAAAGUCAACAUGGAACCAUUAUAAAUGGAAAAAGAAAGAUGUACCAAAAAAAUAAUGGAAAAAGAAAGAAAAAAACACAUCUGUCACAUUCAAAUUUUCCAAUCAGUCAAAUACAUGGUAUAACAAGCGGAGAAGUAAUCCAUAAAGCAUGGACUAACAAAAAAAUAUUAUGCAUUUCAUCGAUCAAAUACAUGGCAAGUUAGUAACAAUUGGAAUAAUAAUCAUUGUAGCAUGGUUGAACCACAAAAAUAAUACAUUUAUUGACUGAAGUCAUUAGGAAUAAUAAGUAGCUUCCUCAGCCCUCCUACAUGGAUAUCACUACAAUUCAUCCACCCACGUAUGAAGUUUAUGAAAUACUAAUAUUCUGAGUUAAAUUACAGCAAGACAAAAGUGAUAUUGUUAUAGUCUGUAGAGACAUAAAAGAAACGGGCCAUUAUUGUCACUAAUAUGAUCACUCCACCUCUAGUUAUAGAUCCAGCAUGAUAAAUACAUAUUUAUGCAAAUAACUAAUCUAAAUGUUAGAUUUCCCAGAAAAUAUUAAAUUUGGAAUCUCAAGAUAGAACAACUAGGUUGGCAUUACAAUAAAGAUUUUUGUUGAAGCCAUAUGUCCCAUAAAAUAAAGCAUGAGAGAUAUAUGUGAAUGAGGAAAAUAUAUGCAGACCUGGCUGCGCGCCCAGUUCAAUGACAUGUAACUUGGAUACAAUUUGACCAGCAUUAAGUGUCUUUGAGGCAAAAGAAAUCAAAACAGAAGGAUUUUCAUUCCCAGGAACCUGUUCAAAAAAUACAAUUAAAAUUUGCCCAACGCAUUAGUAUUAUUCAAUUAUUAUUCAGGUAAAAUUUAUAAAUAAGUAUAUGAACACAGAACCAUAACAAAACGUACUUUGAAUUGGGCAAAUGAUGCAGCAUGAGCUUCAAGUGCCUGACUACGCUGCUGAUCCACAGAGAAAAGCUGCAUGUUCCCUUUAACCAAUUGUGGCCUCUAUAAAGCAAAAGAAGAUGAAGAAACAAACCAAAUAGAUUAGGCUAGCAAAAAUCACAAUUGAAACUUGAAAGAUCACAACUGUAUAUUUGUUAUACAAUUAUACACAAUAUAUGAUUCAGAGACAGAGGUCGAAAUAAGCAAUUAUGGUCUGAAUGAAAAAGCUGGUUAUAGCUGAAAAUUUGAAAUGUGUUUCGCAAUGAUAGCCACGACUAUGAGAGGAAGCAGAGAUAUAUACCUCGGGGGAACCAGGAGCAAUACCAAUCAAGACCAACCACUUUUCCGUAGGGUCACAUCGAUAAUUGAUUAUCUGGUUGUUUGCCAAAUUCGCUGUUCUCUCAAAUAUCUUAACAGGUUCAGAAUCACCUAAAAGUUAAGAGAUCAGGGACCAUAUAUCAGUUAAAAAUUUACAAAUGAAUUACAAGCACGUUAAAAAUGUGUAAAGCAUAAUAGCAACAAAAAAGAUGAGCAUCAGCAGAUUAUAAUCAUCAAUAUCUUACCUUCGAUUGACCAGUGGUAAACGGAGGUUUGUGUCACGAGGCCCAACAUUUUGGGGCUAAUCCACUUCCAGAAGGCUACCUGUAAAUGAAAAAUAAGGGCACUCCACAUAGAUUAGCAAUGUCAUUUUUAGGGACCUAUUAUGUUGCUGCUUAUGUAUCCUAAAACAUUAUCAUUACCUGCUCAGGCAUCUGAUGUGAUUUCAUCUUUGUUUUCAAUUCAAUGUUAAAUAUUUGUAGGUGAUCCUGUGUAGUCCCUUGCAGUUGAGCUUCAAGAGAAUGAUAUAGCUUGUAAGUGAAGAUAAUCCAAAAGCAAAAAAUAUUUUAAUUUUAAAUACAGCACCAAAAAAAGCACAUGGCCCAAAAACUGGAAACCCGGAGAUUGCUUGAUAUUUAGGAAUGGGGAGACUUGUGAUUUGUGAACACUGUAGGUAUCUAAAUACUGACUAUGUCAAACAUAUACAACGUGAAAAAUAUGUCUGAUUGCAACAUCUAAAAUGCCUAAUGUGAAAUUGGGGAUGAUUAAUACAUUAGCAAAAGUAAAAAAAAAAAAUGGAGAAAAUAUAUGUAUCAAAUACAUUGCAUUAUUAAUAAGGGCAAUAAAUUUCAUGCAUCUCCAAGAAAGUUGACUAUAAUAUAGUCAUGGGUCAACCCUCAAACCAAACCAUUACUUCUUUAUAUAAUCUACCUAAAUAAACUCCUCAUUUAACCGACUCCUUUAUCGCAUCCCCUAAAAAAAUAACACACCUUUGUUCUUUUUAUUAUAGCACUUCAAGACAUGGUCUCUAACUUCUUCGUUAUAUAGAAUCUAAAAAUAAGGAAGGCAGUUGAUUUUAAUCAAACGUCACAGCUCUGUGUCCCUGCCAAUCAGGGUACCUAUAAUAGUUGACUGACACAGUCAGGGUAGUUAAGGUAUCAGAAAUAUGGACCAGAAAAAAGAGAUCAAUGGCCAUAGUCUUACUCAAGUAUGCAUUAAUGCAUACCAGCAAGGUUUUAAAAAAAA
Molecule: long non-coding RNA, 25466 nt
Filed under: Trifolium pratense (red clover)
Lineage: Eukaryota; Viridiplantae; Streptophyta; Magnoliopsida; Fabales; Fabaceae
Description: long non-coding RNA (TPRA_LNC002689)
Source: RNAcentral